This is a long non-coding RNA of Mytilus trossulus (common blue mussel), 1122 nucleotides long. RefSeq lists it as uncharacterized. The record is from RefSeq and is a predicted model, not a curated record. NCBI's taxonomy places the organism in Eukaryota, Metazoa, Mollusca, Bivalvia, Mytilida, Mytilidae. The transcript is spliced from 3 exons.
AAAAACUGUCAAUCAGAUCUGCUGGCUAGAAAAAAACAUUUAUCCUGGUAUCUAUGUUAGGUUCAUAUGCAGCCUUGAAACUAUAGGUAACACAACUAAUUAAAAAAAACAAUGACGUCUUUGAAAUUUUAUGCAGUCCAAAUCAUAAAACCAAAACAAACAAUGACGUAUGUUGUAUAUUAUGCAGUCCUAAUCAUGAAACCAAAUCAAUUAAUGACGUGUAUGGUAUGUUAUACAGGCCAACUAAUGAAAUGAAAUCAAUUAUUGACGUUUGUGGUAUAUUAUGCAGGCCAAAUCAUAUUUGAUACCACAAAACUUUAAUAUUGAUUAGAAGGAACAAUUAGCUAGGAAAAAGCCAUAUGUGAAAGGUAGAAACAGCAGUGAAACAAAAUGUUCUAUUUUUUUAUUUUGACAAUCAAAUAAUUAGAUCUUAGCCAAGACAAUUUCGAAGUUUUUGAGCAAUGAUAAUAGCUGUUUAUAGUUUAAACGUUUUUAAACUUUUUCGAAUUUUGUGUCCUCAAUGCUCUUCAACUUUGUAUUUAUUUGGCUUUUUAACUAUUUUUGAUCUGAGCGUCACUGAUGAGUGUUAUGUAGACGAAACGCGCGUCUGGCGUAUAAAAUUAUUAUCCUUUUACUUUUGAUAACUAUCAAAUCCGUAAAUAAUUAGACUAAUCUUCUUCAUAAUCAUCAUUAUUAGUUUUAACUAUAAACCUGUAAAUGGCAUAUGUUACAAUUGUUAUAAAAACAUUUUGGAAAGAGGACAGUCACGUUGCAUACUGGUAAUACAGAAUGGUUACUACAAAGAUGAUAGCAAUUUGUAUUUUAUUGACAUGUUGUUUUGCGUUUCCUGGUGCGAAGAAGAUGUCCGAUUUGAAUUCAUCUGAGACCGUCAAACACGCCGUAAAGGACAUUACCAAAAGAGGAGAAUACAAACGAGAAAUGUCCGAACUUGAAGCAGAAAUUCAGGCGUUCUACCUGACUGAUGCUGAUGGCAACGGAUACAUCACACCUCAAGAAUGGGCUAAUCUCUUUAGUCCAAUGAAAGAUGAACGUUUACCAAAAUAUAGUUAUAAUUUGUGGUUACGUUCAUUUUAUAAUAAAAUCACUGAGCCUGGGGUUGAC